This 513-nucleotide ribosomal RNA is filed under the name uncultured bacterium. RNAcentral describes it as "partial 16S ribosomal RNA". It matches the Rfam family "Bacterial small subunit ribosomal RNA", at positions 30 to 523 of the family's 1533-position model. The record is from RNAcentral.
AUUGAACGCUGGCGGCAUGCCUAACACAUGCAAGUCGAACGGCAGCACAGUAAAGAUUUCGGUCUUUAUGGGUGGCGAGUGGCGGACGGGUGAGUAAUGCGUAGGAAUCUGUCCUGGAGAGUAGGAUAACCCGAGGAAACUCGGGCUAAUACUGCAUGAUAUCGAGAGAUCAAAGGCAGGGGACCCUUCGGGGCCUUGCGCUCUAGGAUGAGCCUACGUCGGAUUAGCUAGUUGGUGGGGUAAAGGCCUACCAAGGCGACGAUCCGUAGCUGGUCUGAGAGGAUGACCAGCCACACUGGGACUGAGACACGGCCCAGACUCCUACGGGAGGCAGCAGUGGGGAAUCUUGGACAAUGGGGGAAACCCUGAUCCAGCGAUGCCGCGUGUGUGAAGAAGGCCUUCGGGUUGUAAAGCACUUUAGUUGGGGAAGAAAAGUAAUGAGUGAAUAACUGAUUGCUCUGACGGUACCCAAAGAAUAAGCACCGGCUAACUCUGUGCCAGCAGCCGCCGUAA